AUGCGGAUUUCAGCUCAACCUGCCUUUGCUUAUAAUGCAUGACAUACCCCGUGAGGGAGCCUGAGAACAGACUCCCUUGAAAAGCAAGGUUCUCAUAGUUGGCCUGUAACCAUGGAAGCAGAUGCCGUUUUCUUCUUACCCUGCUUACCUCUUUGCAGCCUCGAGCUGCUCCCUAUUGUUAAAAGGGGUACGCCUUGAUUUUUCUUCAUCAUGACCGAACUUGCCUCUUCUUCAAAAGGCAUGAUGCUGCAGGUCAUUGGUCUAGACUGUUUGCACGGUCCAGAGAACAGCCUUGAUGUAACCCUUGCUCCGUCUGAGCCACACCACCAGCCGUGCAUCUGCAGACUGUAGGGGGACAUUGGAGAUCUGUAUUUGAAAAGAAGUCUGUCUGAUUUUGCCAUUGUGCCUUUUCACUCAUCGAUCGAAUGAAUAUCGAACCUUCUGUCGUUGCAUGUGUGAAAUAGAUAGCUUAGCAAGCACUUUUGUGCCCAACCUGUGCAGUGGGCCAAGAGGUUUUCCUUUCAGUCUCAAGAAUUUUUUCUUCAGACUUUAUGAAUUUCGUGUUAGCUUAAAUCAUUUAUAUGCCUUUAUCACACUGUUACUGUUUCAGUGACUUCCUCAGCAGACUUUCUCUUGGUGCUAGAGCAUUUUCUUUCCUGUCAAUUGUUUGUUUUCUUUUGUAGCUUUUUAAGGUCUUUGAACUUCACUCGUUUCUGACUACAAGUGGCUUAACUUUUACUGUACCCUAUGAAGCCAAAAAGUUGAGGUGUCCUUCUAAGGAGUUGGUGCAGUUAUGUCUAUCAUUUAACAGGCUUAAUUCCUGAAAGGUGAACUUGAACUGCCUCGAGGUAAUUUCAGUGAUUUGUAAGAGUAAGUAAAUCAAAUAAUCACAUUGAUUUUAAGCUAAACAAAACUGUUUGAUAACCUCUGUUUAAAGGAAAUAUUUCUUCUUUGUUUUUGCCCCUUUAACUGUUUGUGAAAAUAUUCUGAAACAUUGAAAUAUACUUAAAAGCACAUAAAUGUAUUGUGGUUUCUGAAAGGCACAUAAAGUCACUGUGAUUUAGUAUGCUAAAUAAAUAUCAUUUACUUGUCACAUAUCUCUGAUGGUAUGAUUUAAUUAGAAAAUAAACAAUAUGAAAAUGUUUAGAUUUAAUUUCUUAAUACAAUUAGAAUUCACUGAUUGUUAUCAAUAACCAAUGUUAAUAAUAAGCAAUAGCAACUAUACCACCUGCUAAUUCUAAAAUGUCUUUUACUAUGUCCUUACAAAAUCAGAACAACUUCAAAAUGCCUCAUCUGCUUAUCUUCAGUAUAUUACUUGAAAGCAUUGUUAGUGCCACCAGGUUUUGUUUUGCUGAGUUUCAUUUUAAGAAGCCAGUAUUUCAUACUUUAAGGCAUACAUAUUUUCUCUAAUUGCCACAGGCAAAGGGGAGGUCCACAGCAGAAUAAAGAAGGUUAUUGUGACAGAUGAAACAUAAUUCACAAUGAGCACUCUUUUCAUCCAGCCUUAAGUAGCAGAGGAUUACUCGCAAGCUGAAUUUUGUGGCAGAAUGUAUCAGCUGGUCUUAUUAAUGUACAAAGACAGAGCAAAGGCAGAAAAACCUAUUUCUCCAGCUGGGUGGUGGUUAUUUCCUGCGUGUCUGUUUAGGGAUCUUAUUUUGUUCUACCUAAGAUAGAAGAAUGCUGUCCAGAAGAGAGUCGAAACGCAGGGAGCAGGUGGGGAGGGUAGAAAAUCAGAAACCUAAAGCAAUAAAAGUUGUGAUUUUCUCUACUAGAUCAUGAUAAAUGAUGAGUUAAUAUCUUUCUACAUUCUUUGGCAUGCCUAUGAAAUAAAGACAUACUUUUUUUCAACAAACAUAUGAGCUGCAAAAAGUUUAUUCGUGCAAAGAACACAUUAAUAUAGCCUGUUGGGCCAGCAGUGACAAGCAUGAAAAGAGGCUGUCUAUUGAAACACCUGGGACAAAGGAUGGACACCAUAGAGAGAGUCCUUUGAAAUGGAUCCUGAAAAUCUCAAGCUGAGGAUGGCACAGGAAUGACAGGAAACUUCAUUACUCAGGCACAGGAUUUUCAGCUGAUGUUACCAGAGGGACUACUGAUGUACACCCAAAGCACCUUAGCAGAUUUAGACUACUACCCACACUGAAGAGUGAGAAGCACACUGAAGAUAGUAGCAUUAAAAUGAGAACUCCCCGAUACUCUCUCUUCUCCCUAUUGCAGCUUGGAUAGUGUGAAGUACAAAUUGCCUUUAAGAAGAUGCUGGAGGAUAAAUGAAAAAGUCUGAGGUAGUGGCAAAGAGAAGUUUCCACAUUCUGUUUCUAGGGCCAAGGACAUCUUGCAUGCAGCGGAUCCCAUCUGGGUGAAAAGAGAAAUAAGCUGAGAGAGAUGAGUAGUAACUGAUUGAUGUGAGACUUCUGGGCCUUUUUUUCUUUUUCUUUUUUAAAGGAGAGUUUCCAAUCUGUGUGCUAUGAAAAGACUUUGGAAGAUGUUAAGAGGGGAGUGACAUGAUCAGAGUUGAAAAUGUUGAGUUUGAUUUCUCUGUGAGGAUGAGGUUGGAGAAGAGAAGGAUAAAAUCCAGGCAGAACAGUUGGGGUGUUAUUGGAAUAGUUUUGGUGUGAGAGAAAAAGCCAUACUCUGGGUUGGUAGCAGUUAAGAACACAGAGUGAGAUGAUUUAAAAAUAUAUUUGUGAGGUAAAAGUAGCAGUACUCAUAGAUGAACUGGGUUUGAGAAAUUACAGAGGUGUAAAGGAUGAGAGCUAGGGUUUUGGCUUGAGCCACGGGGUGGAUGGGGGUGUUUAACAAAGGAACACACUGAAAUGAGGCUGGAGGUCCAAAUGGAGUUUAACGAUGGUUGACAGGUCAAAAACUCAGUAUCUCAGAAAUUCUCUAUAAAUGAAUUUAGAAGUCCUCCUUCCUUUUCCAGAACUGUUGAUCACUCCUUCCAGAAUCUAGAGACAUGAAUAAUAUCCUUAACAAUGUCAAAGAAUUUCUAUCAGUCCUUAAUUGCCUACUCAUCUGUUUAUCUUCUAUUUUUAACCAUUUCCUUGAUGUUGUUACCAUUGAUAACGGAAACUCACAUUUUAUUCACAGCAAUCCUCUUUCUCUGUUAUGUUUUAAAUGUGUGUGUGUGUGUGUGUGUGUGUGUGUGUGUGUGUGUUUGACAAUUGCUAUUACUUACAAACAUUUGUGUCAGCUAUAUUGGGUCAAAAUUGUUUGUUGGAAUCCAAAAUAAAUAACACAAAAGGAGAACAUGAUAAAGUACUGAGAUCAUUUGCAGAAGGUUGUGUUAAUAGUCAUUGGCUAACACUGUAGAGUAUAAUCCAUCAUAUUAGUUCUCACUGUCUGAAAGCUUAAAAUAGCAUUCAGAGCAUAUAAACAGUAGGUUACAACUUUUUGCUAUAUAUGUGCAUUUUUUUUUAUAAAAAUAAGAUUGAGAGGCCAAUAGAAUUAAUAUCGAUCAACAGUACCAGUGUUAAUUUCUAGGUUUUGAUAACUGGACUAUGAUUACAUAAUAUAUUGACAUUAGGAAAGAAGGGUGAAGGGUAUAUGGAAAUACUAGGCACUCUUUUUGUAACUUUUCUGUAGGUUUAAUAAUUAUCUCAAGAUACAAGCUGGGGGCUAGAGGUAGAAUGCUUGCCUAGCAUGCAUGAGGUCCUGGGUUCAAUCCCUGGCACCAUAAUAAGUAAAUACAUAGUUUUCAAAAAUCAGAACUGCAAUUGUACAUUUUAAAGGGUAUAUGUAUAUAAAAUAUCUAAAAUAGAAAGGUAUUCAAAUAUAAGCAUGAAAGUGUUAUUAUUUAUUGUUAUGUGUUUGUUCUUAAAUACAUGAGUUCAUUUAUAUUUACAAAUCAAACUGACUGCAUUAUAAAAUAUAAAAUAAGUGUGUAAAUACAUGACCAUACAGAAUGUCUUGGAGUUUAAUAAACAAAUAAGAAUGAAUAUCAUCUUAACUAGUUGUAAAAGAGCUAAGAAUUGACAAUAAAUCUGAAUGAAAAUUUGCUUAUGUUAUAGCCCAGUUUCCAGGUGCUCUUAAUAAAAAAAAAAUACUUAAUAAAAAAAUACAGAGGUCUAAACAGCUCUUUUAGUUUUACCAAAUCUGUUCAUCAUUUCACCAUUUUUGUAAACAUUAAGUCCUCAUUGCUUCUCUAAGGCCCUACAUGAGAGCAUCCUCCUCAACUCCCUCCUCACUCUCCUGUACCCAUUCUUUUAUGUAAGGCACACCACUUUAGGCAUAAUAAAACUGAUAGUAUUUAAAAGCCUUCAGAAGGAAAUAUAUUACCCUUAAAACAUAGAAACACAGAAAAAAAGAUCACACCCAGCUAGAUUCUAGUCCACCUCAUGCCUCUUUUGUACCUUGCCAACCAGGAUCACACCCUUCCUGUCUGUCUGUGUCCCCUUCACUCCUGCCAAUGUGGAUUGUCUACUGUGCCCUAAAGAGCGGCUUGACCCUUCCAUCCUGGUCUAUGUUCAUGUUAUUUCCCUUGAGAUAAUUUUUUUUCUCUCACUCAUUCAGAACACUGGAAUAUUACAUUAACGUGACAGAGGGGUCUUGCCCUCUAAAAGAGGUUAGCUUUGCUAAAGCUUCUGAAGGCUCCCAAUGAAAUUGCCCAUUUCUACUUCUCUCUUGGUCUACCUGUCAAAUAUGUAGAUUUUUUUCUUGGACUUGACUUCUUUGUUAUUAUGAUAUUUUUAUUACUGUAAUCUAUGGAAUAGCAAUUCAUAGAUUCAUAUUGUGCUCCCAGAUGUGGCUUUCACAAGGUCUAAAUGUUUGCAUUUAUUUUUCUGCAGUUUGCAAUGCCCAACAGUACGGUGGAUGCUCAGUAAAAAUUAUUAGAAUUAAGUUGAAUGCAGAUGGCAUUCUUUAAAAAAGCAGACAAAGGUUAAGCAUUCCUAAUCUGGAAAUCUGAAAUCUUAAGUGCUUCAAAAUAUGCAAUUUUGAGUGCUAAACUAAUGAUGCAAAUAGAAAAUUCCACACCAUGUAACUUUUUUUGUGCACAAUUUCUUAUAAGUAUUUUAUAAAAUUACCUUCAGUCUAUAUAUAUAAUGCAUACAUGAAACAUAAGUGAAUUUUAUGUUUAGAAUUUGGGUCUCAUCCCCAAGAUAUUGCAUUAUGUAUAUGCACAUGUUCCAAAUUUUGAAAAAAAAAUCAAAAUUUAAAAGACUUCUGGUCCCAAGUAAUUUUAAUAAGGGACACUUAACCCAUAUAAUUCAAAUUCAGCUCCUGAUCAUUAUCUCCAUUUCCCAGCUUUUCUUCCUUACUGCAGCAAGUUUAUCAAGCUAUUACUUCAGUCUUCAAAUACUGAUAAGCAUGUUUCUUGGAUACAUUUUUUAGAGUUUAGAUCAAUAAUCAUUAGCAAAAUAAAGCUAAAUAUGACAUAACUAUAAUUUUUUUCUCAUUGUAGAAACCAUGUCUUUUUUAUUCUGCAUGCUGUUCCAAGUUAUCAGUUGAAGAAAGGUAUAGCUGAGCUUUGUCAAUAUUCAGUUCACUUUCCUCAGACUCCUGUUUUGUCCUCUUAUUCAUUAUCUAAUACUUACAGCACCACUGCAUGUGGUUGCUUGGGCUGUACCCUAUAAAAGGGAGACCCAGGGAGAUGAGUGAAACUCCAAUACAGGCCAGGCUCUGAUGACCAAGCUAUGAGUCCAAUUACAUAUGCAAGGGUGGGUGCAUCAUCUGCCAAGAAGAAAGGGCACCUUUUAUAAUUCACACAAAGUGCACGUGGGGAUUCAUCUAGUCAAUGAGCUUUAAUAUAUUAUAUAGGGAAACUUUUCAAUAAUGAAACUCUUAAUGGGUUUUUUUUAGUCCAAUUUUGUUGAUAGGAGUGCAAUUGUCAUCUAAGUGAAUUUCAGCAUAGAAACAGUGGAGAAUUCAAUGAAUUAAACAUGCACAUUCUCCCUAGAAAUUAUAAAAAGAUGCAUUAAGUCAUUGGAUCGAUUUCUUUUCCAAUGUAAUGUUUUGUUCUGUUUUGUUUUUUUUAGAUUUUUUUUAUUGUUUUGUCCCAUAUGAGUUUAAACUAUUUAAGCCAUGGUUCUUAUUCCAUUUCCCAGGGGUUAAUAUUCAAGAGUAUUCUAGGAGUCCCUAAUAGUAAGUUGAAAGGUGGAUUUUUUAAUUUUAUUCUUCUUUGAUAAAAUAGACUCAGUGGAAUCUAGGGCAUUGAAUUAUUACUCUUAUAUUCCCUAUCAAAAAUAUUAGUACAAUCAGUGAAUAUUUUCUGUUGGCCAACUAUUGAUUAUGUUCUUAAUGUUCAUCAUCUCUUAUCUCCACAAACCAGCCUGACAGCAUUAUUCUCAUUUUUUUAGGAGAAAACUUUGGUGUUUAGUAAUUUCCUCAAGUGGAGAAAGUAAAUGUGUAUAAAUGUGUGUGAUCUAGAUGCUUCUGGUAACAGAACAAUGUCUCACUCCUUUAGAUAAUGUUUCACAAAGUACUGUCCAUUUUCUUUAAUAAAUUCUUUCAAAAAUUACUUAUCAACUAUUUCUUUGGUGCUCUGCAUUCUCCUAGAUUCUCAGGAUGUAUCUCCAGAUUUUAAAGAGACAAUAUCUUUGCUAUUAGGUAUUAGCAUGUAUUAUGAUAUGAAUAGAUCCAGAUAAAGAGAAAAAAAAGUAAUGAGUUGGAAGUAUUAAUUGGGACAUCACAGAAUCACUUUCUGAGGAAGUGAUGUUUUAGUAAUGGUCUGAUAUAAUAAGAAGAAAGCCAGGAAGGUUCAGGUUCUCAAGCAGAUAAAAUAAGUAAGUGUAGAGCCCUUAGGCUACAAACCAAGGCAUGUUAGAGGAACUUCUUGACGGUCAACCUACUAAGAUGGGAUACUCAAGGGGAGAAUGAAUAGUGGGAGUUGAAAUCAGAAACUCAAGCUGAAGUCCCAUGAUGCAAGCUCAAGUAGGCAAGGGUAGGGAGUUGAAAUGUUCCUCUAAUGAGAAACUAUAAAUGGGUUCUACCUAAUUUACAUUUUUGAAAAAUAACCCCAAUUGAUUUGAGGAAGAUUAUCUCUAGGGGGAGAAGAAUAGAAGCAGAAAUGGCAGUUAGGAAACUAGCUGAUGACAGUAUUUCAAGAAAAAGUGGCAAGUCCUGGAGGUUGGGAGAAGUGGUUAUACCAGACAGAGCUGAAAGUCAGGUUCGAAGGACUUAGAUGAAAUGUUGGUUGAAAAACAAGAAGGAUCCAAGAUGACACCUAGAUUUUACACUUCAGGUACUAGACAGAAGUUGGUGCCAUUUACUGAGACAGGGCAAUUCGAGAAAAGCAAGAUUUUAGGAGUGGGGGGGGGGCAAGAAAUUAGGAGUUCUGGAACAUUUUCAGCUAUAUCAGGAAAGACCUAGGAGGCACUUAUAGACACUUCCCAUGAAUGCAUAUGAGAUAUGGAAAAAAAAAAAACUACAUAUGCAUGCAUUUACCCUCCUGAUCAACAUGCAAAUACUGAAGUUUCCUUAAUGUUUUAUAUCA
Ictidomys tridecemlineatus (thirteen-lined ground squirrel) is the source of this 7426-nucleotide long non-coding RNA. RefSeq lists it as uncharacterized. The record is from RefSeq and is a predicted model, not a curated record. NCBI's taxonomy places the organism in Eukaryota, Metazoa, Chordata, Mammalia, Rodentia, Sciuridae.